AUCCACCUUCGAGGACAUUCAAUAAAAUUGGAACGAUACAGUGAAGAUUAGCAUGGCCUCUGCUCAAGGAUGCCACACACAAAUCUAUUAUACAUAUAUAU
Non-coding RNA from Cucumis sativus (cucumber), 101 nucleotides. The record is from Rfam. Lineage: Eukaryota; Viridiplantae; Streptophyta; Magnoliopsida; Cucurbitales; Cucurbitaceae.